GGGAGGCAGCAGUGGGGAAUUUUGGACAAUGGGCGAAAGCCUGAUCCAGCAAUGCCGCGUGCAGGAUGAAGGCCUUCGGGUUGUAAACUGCUUUUGUACGGAACGAAAAAGCUUCUCCCAAUACGAGAGGCCCAUGACGGUACCGUAAGAAUAAGCACCGGCUAACUACGUGCCAGCAGCCGCGGUAAUACGUAGGGUGCGAGCGUUAAUCGGAAUUACUGGGCGUAAAGCGUGCGCAGGCGGUUAUGUAAGACAGAUGUGAAAUCCCCGGGCUCAACCUGGGAACUGCAUUUGUGACUGCAUGGCUAGAGUACGGUAGAGGGGGAUGGAAUUCCGCGUGUAGCAGUGAAAUGCGUAGAUAUGCGGAGGAACACCGAUGGCGAAGGCAAUCCCCUGGACCUGUACUGACGCUCAUGCACGAAAGCGUGGGGAGCAAACAGGAUUAGAUACCCUGGUAGUCCACGCCCUAAACGAUGUCAACUGGUUGUUGGGAAUUAGUUUUCUCAGUAACGAAGCUAACGCGUGAAGUUGACCGCCUGGGGAGUACGGCCGCAAGGUUGAAACUCAAAUGAAUUGACGG
RNAcentral lists this ribosomal RNA (580 nucleotides) under uncultured beta proteobacterium. Its description in RNAcentral is "bacterial SSU rRNA". It matches the Rfam family "Bacterial small subunit ribosomal RNA", at positions 343 to 916 of the family's 1533-position model. The record is from RNAcentral. Lineage: Bacteria; Pseudomonadati; Pseudomonadota; Betaproteobacteria.